RNAcentral lists this unclassified non-coding RNA (106 nucleotides) under Grammosciadium scabridum. Its description in RNAcentral is "psbA-trnH intergenic spacer". The record is from RNAcentral. Lineage: Eukaryota; Viridiplantae; Streptophyta; Magnoliopsida; Apiales; Apiaceae.
AGACCGGGUUUUAGUAUAUACGAGUUUUUUUGAAAAAAAAAAAGGAGCAAUAACCUCUUUCUUGUUCUAUCAAAAGGGGGGUCUUGCUCCUUUUUUUUUUUAUAAG